CAUGCAGUCGAGCGGCAGCGGGAAAGUAGCUUGCUACUUUUGCCGGCGAGCGGCGGACGGGUGAGUAAUGCCUGGGAAAUUGCCCAGUCGAGGGGGAUAACAGUUGGAAACGACUGCUAAUACCGCAUACGCCCUACGGGGGAAAGCAGGGGACCUUCGGGCCUUGCGCGAUUGGAUAUGCCCAGGUGGGAUUAGCUAGUUGGUGAGGUAAUGGCUCACCAAGGCGACGAUCCCUAGCUGGUCUGAGAGGAUGAUCAGCCACACUGGAACUGAGACACGGUCCAGACUCCUACGGGAGGCAGCAGUGGGGAAUAUUGCACAAUGGGGGAAACCCUGAUGCAGCCAUGCCGCGUGUGUGAAGAAGGCCUUCGGGUUGUAAAGCACUUUCAGCGAGGAGGAAAGGUCGGUAGCUAAUAACUGCUGGCUGUGACGUUACUCGCAGAAGAAGCACCGGCUAACUCCGUGCCAGCAGCCGGGGUAAUACGGAGGGGUGCAAGCGUUAAUCGGAAUUACUGGGCGUAAGGCGCACGGCAGGCGGUUGGAUAAGUUUAGAUGUGAAA
RNAcentral lists this ribosomal RNA (560 nucleotides) under bacterium amp-d-25. RNAcentral's name for it is "bacterial SSU rRNA". It matches the Rfam family "Bacterial small subunit ribosomal RNA", at positions 54 to 599 of the family's 1533-position model. The record is from RNAcentral.